Vicugna pacos (alpaca) is the source of this 427-nucleotide non-coding RNA. The record is from RefSeq and is a predicted model, not a curated record. NCBI's taxonomy places the organism in Eukaryota, Metazoa, Chordata, Mammalia, Artiodactyla, Camelidae.
AGGAGUAGGGGCUGAGCAGCGCGGCGAUGGUGUAGUGCCGGGGCCCCGAGUCGUUGGCCGUGAACACCACCUGGGACAGAACACACAGAGCACCGUUUCUCACACAGCCCAGCACGUGAGCCCCGGCCGGAGAGCCCGCUGCAAACUGACUGCAGUGACAACAAGUUCUGAGAAGCACCCAGUGGUGAAGGCCACCGCAUGUGAAAGCUUCACCCAGCAUGGGCCGCACACUGUGGCUGGCUCGUCUGAAAAGUGGGCCAUUAAGCCUGCUGCAAGUGACAUUGUCACAAAGGGGGUGCCCCUUCGUUGUUCCACGGAUGCAGCAUCUCUAUGGUACCGGGGAUGGGGGUGAAGCCUUUGGCGCCCUUCCCACAAUGGCACAUCAGCAGCAGAAGGGGUACCACUGCACGGAAACAAAAUUGAGUCC